ACUUCCAUAUAAACGCUCGUUUUAUUUUCACCCCCUCCCCUAAAUCCCCAAUUUUGCGCUGCUAAAAACCCUGAUUCUAUUCCCUUUGUUUUCACCGAUCAAAAUCCCCUUCUCAUAAAUUUUCUCUCUUGAUGGAAGAGACGCGAUGUGCAAUUUGACUGUUCCAAUUUCCUUUUCAACGUUCAAUUAAAACCCUAGCCUUUUCCUUUUGCUUCUAUGGGGAGGGAAGGAAUCAUGUCUUUCGAUCUCAUAUGCUGAAGUCGUCCUGCAGCUACUUUGGAUCCUCCCAAGAUCUGUACGGCUGAGGACCAAAAGAAGAAAGAUGAUGAGGAUUUGGUGAGUGACUGUUCGGGAUUUCGCCCUCGCUGGUUCUCUACACCGCAAAUCCGUACGCUCUUCCCUUUUUUUAUUUUAUUUCCUUUUGAAAAAUAAAUUUUUAAAUCUAUAUUCAAAUCUUAAUUCUUUUUAUUCUAAUAUAAAUUAUUUAAUUUCUUGUUUAUCUUCGUCUUCAAUUUUGGUGUACGUAUAUAAAAUUAUUAUGGAUUUCUCUUUAUUUUUAUUUUUUUUUAAUCUUUGGUGUUUUAGUUUCAGUAAUUGAUUUGCAGUUCUUAUUAAAUUCAAUGGCGUUUUUAAUUGCUUGUUCCUUCGAUUAGUUUGUUUGAUUUAGUUAAGGUUUGAUCUCUUUUAUGUUAUAAGUUUCGAUAAUUAUGCCAUUUAAGUUAUUAACGGACCUUUCUAGUCUUAGAUAUCUUGUAUUUUAAAGUUGAAUUUGUAAUUGUAACUACGAAUUUUGCAUUGAAUGAGAUCCAUCUUAUAAUUUUCAUUUCAAUUCGAGCACUGAAUGUUGAUUAUUCAUUUUAUUGCAGGAAUCAUUUCAACUUUUACCGUAUUCCCCGAAGCUUUUGAAUGGUUAUGUCCUGAGAAUCAGAUUGAUUAUGUCCUGUUAUUUGCCUAGGGCUUCCUUUAUAUGUCAAGAUCAUUCGUAUAGAAUAUAUGUCAUGGUUGUGCAUUUCCUUUUUGCUUACUAUAAUAACAAGAAUAUUAACUUUGAAAAAUAACAUUUUGUCUUAUUUAUAUGUAGUAUUGGCUAUACCAUGCUUAUGGAAGGUGGUAAAUAAACUCAGCUUGAAUGAACAGCUUUUAUUGAUGUUUGCUAGUUUAUUUUUAAGUUUGAUUGUGUUUGUUAAGAAUUCCAAAGUUGCACUUGUUUUUGUAUGUUUGUGUUCAUUCGUUUAAAUAAAUGAACUUAUUCGUGAACUUAAUAUAAGUAAAUAUGUCGAUAAACAAUUAAAAAUCUGUUCAUGAAUAGUAAAUUGACAAACCAUAAAUAAACAUAUUUCUUAUUAUUUAGAUAUGAAAUAAUCAAAUAUAAAUAUUAUUUUAUUUUAUUAUAAUCAAACAAUAAACAAGUUCUCAGUAAGGCGACUAAUAGUUUAGUUCGUCUUUGUAGAUGCUAUUCACGUCUUUGCUCGCCUUUGCGAUUGCUCUUCUCAGCCUCUUCUCACAAUCCUUGAAGGUAUUCCCAACUUUUAUUUCUAUUUUGCUUUUGAUUGUUCGCUUAUGCUUGAAAUUUCUGUCUUUGAAUAUGAAAUUUUGAAUAUUACUCAGAUAUUAGCAACAUAUCUUAACUGACCAAAUGUAGUAUAAAGAUUUCUGUAUUAAGAGUUGAAUUAUAUUUUGUGUCUUUUAUUUAAAAAAUAGAUAAAUUAUUUUCUAUUAAAAAUUUCAUUUAUUUCUACCAUUAAAACUGUCGUGGAUGAUGAAAUAACCAGACAGUUACCGGUAGCAUAUAAGGACCCGUUUUUAAUAGUAAAAAUGUACAAAAUUCUUAAUUAAAAUAUCAAUUUACUUUUUAAUCUAAUAUAUAAAAAUCAAUUUACGGAUAGUUUGUUGGUAAUAUUUAUGGCUGAUCCGGAUGCCAUCAUUAUUCAUUUCUAAGUGCCAAUAAGAAAUCAGAGCCAGCAGGGGAUGGUUGAUUAAUUUCAGUUCCAUGGUCGGCCUUUGCUACUUGAUUUGACCUAUGCCAAAGCUACUUUCGUGCUCCAAAUGCAAAAUUGAAUGUUUAUAGAUAAAAGUUACAGACUACUUCUAAGUUCUAACCAUGCCAUGCUGAAAUCUUGUGUUAAUAUUAGUUUUGUCAGGGCAUGCUAGUUUUGAAAAAAGUCAAAUUAAAUUAAAAGUUUUGAACUUUUUCUAUGAAUCGAUCAAUUUUGAAUUUCAAUUAUAUAGUUUAUGAGUUGAAUCACAUCAUUUUAUUUUCAAAUUCAAGCUAUUGGUUUUUAAUGAACAAAUCAAAUUAAAUUAAUUCAAAUUUAGAUUUGUUGAUACCAAGUUAAGAUUAUGGUAGCUAAUGACAGUUCCCUCACUAAAUGGGCAAAUAGCUGUAAGAUAUGUUGCUAAUAUUCAAAUUAUAAGAUAGCUGAAAAUUUGACAUGGUCCUGAAAUUCAAUUUAUAAUUUGUUGCUAAUAUUCUUUAAUUUUUAGCUAAAUUAACUGACCAAAUUCGAUUUGUUGGUUAACCAUAAAAAAUUCAGUUUGGUUAACAGAAGAGAUUUUGAGAAAAUUUGAUUUUUGAAUGUUAUUUUGGUUAUUAGUUAGGAUUAAUCCUGUUAAGUUUUUAUACCUUCAUUUUAUUUGUUUUGAACUUUUAGUAUGUGUUAAUUUAACAUCUGAUGGUGAUUAAUAUCUUUAUUGUAUUAUGCUUCUAGGUUUUGAUUUGUUCUGAUAUUUUGGUUGGAUACAUGUAUGUGUUCUUUUAUAAAAUUUUCUUGUGUAAAAAUAUAUUACUUUUAUGUUUUGGAAUCUAUUCUUCAUGUUGCGGUGGACUGAUAAUUAUGUGUGGGUUUUUUGGGUCUUCCAAAUAAGUUCCGUGUUAUAUCAACUCGUGAAUUUAAGUUCUGUGCUAUAUCAACUCGUGAAUUUUGAUCAUGAUGUCAACAAAAGUAUUGGUGUCCGAAUAAUUGCAUCCAUUGGGAAAAUACAGUUGAUGAAAAUAGGAGGUACAUGUAUAAUUUUGAUAUAGAUUCUAGGGUAUUGGUGAAUUAUUUUUUACCCUUUUUCUUAUAGAUAAUUUAUAAAUGCUUUAGCUUUUGUUCCUGUUUGACAUUGAAGGCCUACUUUAUAUUGGAUGAACUCUUGAUUGCCGGUGAACUUCUUUAUGUUUGUCCGAAUUUGACUCAAUCCAAAUUAUAGGUUUAAAAUUUUAUUCAAUUCUAUUUCAUAUUUUUAAAUGAUUAACUUAAUCUCGUUUUAGACUUAUUCAGAUUUAUAAAGAAAUAUAUUUUUAGUUUAAUAUUUAAUAUUUUAGAUUUUUAUUAAAAUUUUAAAUAUAGCCAAUAUAUUUUUCAUAUACGUUACUUUAUUUGCAGGUUAAUAGCUUUCCAGUAUUGGGUUUAAAAAGCUUUAUAAAUGCUUGAUGAAUAUUUUCCUGCAGUAUUUCUUUUUACUCAUUUUUAAUCCCAUGCUGUAUUUGAUUUAUGCUGGACAUGUUUUGUUGCUAAAUUACUUAACUUAUUUCUAUGCAUUUUUGCUUUAACUUACUUAAGAAAUACAAUUUUUUUUACUCCAGCCUCUGUUUGCUUGUUGAAAUUAUUAAGGUACGUUUUAGUUCAAAAUUCGCAUAAAUAAUAGUUUCAUCAUGAUGAUUUUGAAAAAAAUCAUUUUACUUAGAUAUAUGAUUUGGUAUGAAGUAAUGAUGAGUAUGGUUUAUAAUUAGCUCAUCUUGGUAAGAUUGUUAAUUGGUAUGAUAUGCAUUUGUGGUUGUUAUAAUUCGGCUCAAGUGAAUUAAGUAUGGUUGUUGGAUGUGUUUUUGGGUAUGGUUUAUUAUUGAAUUACAUUUUGACUGUAAUUUGUUUAUUUAUUAGUUUGGGAAAUGGCAGUGAUGAGCUGUUAUAUUUGGUUGAUGAUAGAUAAAUGAAUACAUAUGUACUUAUGUCAUGAAUUUUGGUGAUUUGGGAUGUAAAGGUCAAAUUGUUAUAUAUAUAUGUUAUUGUAUGUUCGGCUAUGAUAUUUGACUAUUUAUGUUUGGUUUACGAUGGCAAGAAUGAAUAUGUUUUAACUGUUAUAUUGAAGUCAUAUUAAAUGACCGAAUAUAUAUAAAUUGAUUUACUUGUGUAUAUGAAAUUUCAGCAUGAUUUAUAGCAUAUGAAAUUGACAUGUUUUGAUUUGGCUAAAUGACAUGAAAAACGAUUAAUGUUAGUCAAGUGAGCAAUGUAUGAAUUGGUUAUGUUGCAAGCGAAAUUUGGUUAUUUAGAUAUGCUUGUAUGUGAUUGUAAAAUUUUGCUUACUUAACCAUGAGGUAUAGUUCAGAUACAAGCUAGCGCAGAUGAGCAAAUUUCUCAACUUAGAGCGGAGGCAGCAGCGAGGGAGGCAGAGGCAGCAGCGAGGGAGGCGGAGCAGAACAGAAAAUACAAUGAACUCCAGCUACAGCUUCAGUCUAUGAUGACUAUUUUCCAGCAAUUUCAAAAUCCGCCAUCUUAAACAUUUGUUUUAUUGUAACUUUUAACAUUAUUUUAAGAAUAUUUUGAAUAUUCAUUUACAAUUUAUAUAAUAUAUUUUUCGUAUAAUUUUGUAUUAUUUAAAUUUGCGGGUUUUGGUUGGAUUUCAUUGUACAUUUGUUGUUUUUGUUUGAGUUUCUUGCAGGAGGGUUGGAUAUAGGUGGAAAAACAUAUAUAGCAAAACUUGUUAACUUAGCGGCGUUUUUUAAAAAAGUGCUGCGAAAGGACCUGAUCUUUAGUGGCGUUUUUUAUAAAAGCGCUGCAAA
This 4762-nucleotide long non-coding RNA is filed under the name Gossypium barbadense (sea-island cotton). RNAcentral's name for it is "long non-coding RNA (GBAR_LNC010680)". The record is from RNAcentral. Lineage: Eukaryota; Viridiplantae; Streptophyta; Magnoliopsida; Malvales; Malvaceae.